Molecule: long non-coding RNA, 6755 nt
Organism: Bombus terrestris (buff-tailed bumblebee)
Lineage: Eukaryota; Metazoa; Arthropoda; Insecta; Hymenoptera; Apidae
Exons: 2
Source: RefSeq, a predicted model, not a curated record
ACACGUAUACGCGAUGUUACCUUGUAUGCACUCCCAAGAGGAACGAGCCAGGGAAGGACGCUCGACUACGGAGAUACAUACAUAUCGAGGUAACUUUACGUACGUGUGCUGGCGCGCGAAUCCUUGCACGUAUACACGCACACGUGCUCGUCGUAUGAUGUACGCUCCUGCAUACCAACCUGUCGCGAUAUAUAAACAUCGGCGAAAGAGAAUCCGCCAGGGAGAGACAGAGACGAAACGAUGGGCCAGCCAGGCAGAGGGAUGAAAAAAGAGCAUGGACCAGCCCGGGGAAAGAGAGACGCUGAAUGAAACGGUGAUAUGAAAAGAGAACACAGAGAGAGAACGAGAGGAUGCACGUAGUCGGAGACUGGCCACCCGCUGGUUCGACGAAGAACGAUAUCGUAGAGGAGGGAAGAGGUAUUGCGCGAGAGAGCAAGAGGGAAGUUUCGAAAAGAGAAACACACAGAGGUGUGGUUCGAAAGAGAACGCAGGACGGUAAAAGCUGAAACGAGAUACGGGAGAGCGAGACGAGAAGACCUGGUAAAAGAGAGAACGGGAGUUGCAGAAAGAGAAAGAAGAAAUGGAAAGAGAAAAAGAGAGGGCGAUAGAGAGGGAGAGGAUGAACAGACACGGACGGCGAAGAGAGUGAGACGAAUGCAUAUGUGUUCUGAAACAAACGUUCGAUCAGAGUGCCGAUUGUUGCCAAUCAUACGUUGCCACGGCGUACCCCUCUGUGCCCGUGGCCAAGCCGCGGAUUCAGUUCUGCGUUUUUACGCGGCGCGGUAACCAUCGUUCCCGUUCUUUCGUUGCCUGUCGCGUGUUUUCGAAGAAUCAUCGCGAAAAAUAUCUAUACGUCAUGUAUAUAAUAUAUCUCUUAAGACGUUCCAUGUGCAAAGUAAGUUGUUCCACUUGGUCAUCACGGUGUUCCCUGUUCGCUGACCCGAUGGUGUGCGUGUGGCCCGAAUCGAGCGUGCGAGCGAGCGAAUGAGCUCUGCUCGCCGCAACAAACGUCGACGACGAUGACGGAACGAAGAUGGUAGAGAGAGAUGGUGGAGAUCCUUGGUGGAGGAGAGGACCCUUCACGGCGGAGAGGCACGGAAACGUCUGGUGGCGUGGCGACACGGACGAACACGGUGUGCGUUCGGUGGCUGCGUGCGUGCGUGUGCUUUUUGCGGAAAAUGUCAGCGCUGCCCGUGGCAUUCGAUGAUUGAUGACGACGGCAAACUACGAGCUGGGAGACGUGUAUGCGUGAGAGCGUGUGUCAGUGUGGCCGAGACCGAGCUCCCGGAUGUGUUGGUCCCGUGUCCGUGGAACAACGCCUUAUGCAUACUCAUCGUAGGUGGGCACACGGACGCGAGCUUAUGCGUGCCACUCGGCUGUGUCUGCGGGUACGCGCGCGAGAGAGGCGAUGAUUUCGGAAAACACGGCAGCCCGCGUCGACCAAUGGCAGCACGCCGACCGCCGGCCGGGCAACCAGCAAUACGCGAUGACGAAAUCGGUUGGACAGAGACGACACGAGCGAGAGAAUGACCGGGUGGGAUGAUGGGGGUGGAGGAAAACGAACAGGGUUUGCGUCGAGUAAUAAUGAAUGUUUGUUGCCGGCGGCUAAGCCUUCAUUUUCGCUGCUUCAACCUGUGGACGGAUCUUCGUCUGCUCCGUCCAAUAGCGUUGCUAGAAUCGUCUAUCUCCUUCUUCAUAAUGUAUCCUACUUGCGCUAAUUUGGUAUUUACUUGCGUUGCUCGUAUCACCCCAUCGCGACGUGGCCUCUUUCCCUUUAUCUUUUUCGUAACCGACUCUGGGCUGUUCUACGUUAAACGCCCUUAAAACUUGGAAACACUUCUAAUUCAUUUUUAUAAACUUUCAGACGGUAACUCGUUUUAUGCAAGCUUGUGUUCGAGCUAUUACAGCUCAUCAUUAUAUUUUAUCCCAUUGUUUCUCAAAUUACUAGUAAUUACUAGUGGAUAAUAACACGUAAUGUACGAUUAGAAUAAUCGGCAGUCACGCCCAGCAAGGUAUACGUAUACCUUAUACCCGUGAUUUACACAUAGCGAAAUGAAUCUGCCCUAUUGCAUUUUCUAAUCAACAUUUUUAUUUUCAUCGUUCUAAGCCUCUCGUAUAGAUCCAUUAAAUCGAUAACCUCGACAGAUAAUCUUCUUCGAAGCUAUAAAAUGAAAAUGUAGUUAAAACUAAACUAUAAAAUUGCUUAUUGCAAUGCGUUCGCGCAGAAGCUCCUGUCAGAAGAAAUGACCGAGUCACCAGGCGACCACCUCAGAAGAAACUGUUGCUUCCGUAAAGUCGUGGGGGAGUUUUCCACAAGGUUUUCACGCGGGAUUCAAAAAUCGUAGACACGCGGCGGGAAUUGGGGGACGAAAGGCGAGAAGGCGAAAGGGAGAAGGGAACGCUGCGCAACCGGAUAGGACUCUUCGAGUAGGAAAGAGGGGAGUGGAGCGGUUUUCACGAGAGCACGGUGCAGGUCGUAUAGUAGUAGGCGAUAGUGCGGAGGGCAGCUCCGGCCGCGCACGCGCUUUUUCGAAAAAUCAAUAAAACGAAAAGCUUACCUAAUGCUAUGUUACUACGGGGGUAGACUCCGCCUUCAUCUACUAGCUAUAGUGGUGGGUUGAUCGCCGCCUAGAUACUAACGCUCCACUCGGCCAGAUGAUCAUCUGUAGAUGACGCGUUGCCGGCGUGUACGCCCAGGGUGCAUCAUUUCUGCCUUCCUUCGGAAAGUAAAGCGGGUUCGCUCGAUAGAAAUAACGUUCCAACGAUUCCAGAAAAUUGUCCUUUUCUAUAAUUUUAUUUAGUUCUGCUAAUUUCCUUUCUCUCGUAUCAUCUGUUUCAUUAGAUACUUCUGUUCUUAAUGAAAUUUAAAUCUCUGUGAAUAGAUUACUUCGUAAUACAGGCUUGGAGAGUGAAAUAUUAAAUAAUAAUUAAAGAUAGAAAUCUGUGCGACCGUUUAAUCGAUUUAACUUUUUCACUUUUAUUCGCUGUUUCAGUCAAUUUGAUCCUGAAUGAAAACUGAAUAUUUAAUCGCUUCUUCUUAUCGAUAUAUUCGAUAUAUGUGGAAUUAAUUGUCUUUUAUUUGUAUGUAAAAAUAAGUAUCUGAGAAAGUAUUUGUCAUUCGAGUAUGCUUCUCGAUAGAUUCAAUGUAGUAGCUAGAUAAUUGAGACGCAAAAUUAAAGCGAAGCUUUUAUAGAGAUACUAUGGGAAGAGAGAUAGAAAAGGUGAAGAAAUAAAAGAGGAUGAAGAGAAACGAAUGGAAACAGUAGUAUGAAUAAAUAGUCGAAGACAACUGCUUUCUGUACAUUCUCUAAAUAUAUUCUUUAAAUACACGCACACACAUAUAUAUAUAAUAUUCUUCUAUAAUAUUCUAAAAUUUUUUAGAAUUUGAAAGAACGAUACUAAAACUUGCUCCAAUUAGUGAUCGUAAAUUCAUGAUGAGAAACAUUGUAGAUCACGUUCACUUCAUUAGUAUUGUUACAUGCCAACAAUUUUUGAUAGGCUAUAAAUAUCCAUUCAGAGGAAAGAAUAAAUUGGCGCUCUUUAUUGACGGUAAAUAUUGAUUAAACAUGAGAGAUUUGCAAAGCAAUGGUAAUUACGUGUUCGUUACAUUAUUAUCCCAUCAUUUACAUUCGUAAAUCACGAAUACCAUUAAAAUAACGAGAUUAAAGAAGAAACACAUCUACGAAAUCACUAGUGGUUGUGUAAAUCAUUUCAAAUGAAAUCAACUUAUAAAAAGCAAUAAAAAUCUUAAUCUGUCAUAAUAAAAUUCUAUCUAUUUGCAUUUCAAAAUUUCUUCCCUGUAUCCUGCAACUUUUGACAGUAAUUAUUUUUUUGAUCGUUUUACAUCUGAAGCACCUUUACUAUCAAUUCUUACAUUUAUGCAAAUUCACGUUUCUAUAACCACGAUUAGAGAGACGAAAUCGAAGUAGCUAUAGAUUUAUUUCAUCUAUUAACAUUUAAUAAAUAUUUUAUGUAUUUUUGCAUAAUACGCGUAUUCCGCAACAUAUCGUAAACAUUUCCCAUGUACAAAUAUACUGUCAUACGAUCUCUUCUAAAUAUCUCAAAUUAAUUUAAAAUCGACUCAUCGCCUCCCUCCUUCCUCCCCCUCCCUCAAUCAUAAAGCUAACGAUGGAAAGGCGAAAAGAUCGAAGGAAUCUCAUCAACGUUGCGGCCACUCACACCAAGAUGACAAUGAUCGAUCGAUCGAUGGAACGAACUAACGGAACGACGCGCCCGAUGUUUAUCCCUAGCCAUUCGCGUGGACGAUAAAACACGAAAGGAAUAAGCUGUACAAGGUAUUUCGUAGAUUCGAGCAAAAUGGGGGAUGCGAAUGCGGCGAGCCAUGAUUAGAUUGUGGCUUGUGCUCGAGGCGUCCGACUAGGUUCAGCACGUUAGCGAAUUCGGUCCGUUGAGUGUUGACAAGUCCGCAUCCUGCUCUCCCAGCCGCCUUUAGCGCUGGCCGUGUAAUUCUAACGAGCUUAGGGCCGUGCCGCUCCUCUCCGUUCGGUUGCAUUAUCUGAAACCGCGAGGCGUUCUUGGCCCGAGUGGAUAGGUUUCCGCGAGUUGCCAAUGCCAAUAGGAAACCCGAUGCACCCUAUGCGCGCUAGUGUGCAGGUAGAACAAGUAGAACCGCCGAUAGAUUUCCAUUUGGUACACCUGCUACGCGUAAACGAUACGCCGACCGCGCGGUCGGGCCAGAUUUAGAAUUUUGCGACAGGGUGGCCGGGCCACGCUGGAUUGAAUUAUUGCCGGUGAUCUCGGCCCAUUAUACCACGGUUUCGACGCGUGUUUUCGCUACUCGUUUCGUUGCUUUUCGGGACUGGUCGCGUGGUAAACGCGCCGAAUGAUUGAUGCCGGCAUAUAAGUAUGUUUGCCAGUGGAAAAGGGGAAAAGCGUGGAUUGAUCGAAGGGGAUGAAAGCGUCCAAUUAUUGAUUGUUAAAUCGGUCGACCGGUCUUUUAUCGAUUCGAUCGCCAAUCGUAUAAAUUGAUUGUUUCGGUUGAUUUUUAAUUUAGUCGAUGUAUAGGAAGAAGGCGAGAAGGUUUAAUUGUGUCGGAAUAGAAGAGAGUACAGAUAAUGAGAGUUAUUGGCGAUGAGGUAUAAAUAUGUUACGAUUAAUCGGAAGGAAUGGAAACAUUGAAUUAUUGAAUGGUCAACGAUUGACUAUUCUAUAGACGUAGAUUCAGUUAUGAAAUUUUUUAUUUCGUAACCUGAUUUUAUGUAACGGCAGAUUGAUAGGAAAUAUAUUAAGGGGAAAUAUCAGAAUUAAUAGAAAAGUAGGCAAAAAAUUGUUUGCGGUCAAUAUGAAAUCGAAUGCAGUUUCUUUGAUCACCAAUUGAUAAAAACAUUAACCGUCACGAUAUUUUCAUGUUUCAGCAUAAACCGAUAUACGGAUAAACUGAAAAGAGGAAGUCGAUUUUAAAAGCGUAUGAUGCAGAGAUGCAUAAAAAAUGCUCGAAUUAAUUUCGGUGGUGAUACGAGCAAUUUAUUUCAUAGGAAUACAUGGAAAGCUUAAAAAACAUCAAACUUAUAUUUAUACGAAACUUUUCUUCUGUGAAAAAUACACCAACCAAUCUAACGUCUAUAAACAUUCGAUCUCUACAAAAGCUUGAAAUUGUUCUUCGAUUAUUUUAUAUAACAAUGACAGAUCCUAUUCGAAUAAAAUGGAAGGAAAUUAAUCAAAUUAAAGACUUUUAACGGAUGUUUGCGGGACAGCUGCAGUAACAGAGAAGAAAAUGCCAGAGGCAAACGAAUCGAUCGAUAAUUCAGUUAAGCAGGCAACUUGACCGUAAUUGGUAGUGGGUAUAUUUAAAAAGCGCUUUCUGAAAGUUCGAUGAAAAUCGAUUAAAGACGAGCGGCAGCGCGGCGCGAAAGUUUGAUUAAAAACGCGAACGUCCACGAGUCGGAGCCCCGACUUCGCUAAUAAUUGACGACAGUUAGAAGCAGUUCGUAUUACCCUCGAGAAUAUAUCGAGCACUUCAAUCGUGCGUCUCUUUUCCUAGUUUCUACAGCCCCCUUUUUUCUUUCCUUCUUCCUUUUCUAUGUUCUUUUUCGUCGAAACAAAAAUUUCACGUGGAAGGACGGAUAAAUUUCACGAAUUCCAGCGCAGUUGGAAAAGAAGCAAAGGGAAAAGAGGAACUUGCAAUUACAGUGCGCGAGUAACAGACGACUCGGCGUCAGUUAAAAUAAUUAGUGCGUUCCUAAUGGAAGGAGUAUGAAUUGUUGAUGACAACUCAUCGCAGCAGCGGAUCAAUGUCCCUUUUUGUAAACGGACGAAUAGGACAUUGAAAUUUUUGCAAUUUCCAAAGUAGCCAAUUUGAACAGAGUCGGUGCAUUUGGCUAUGUAGCUUCGUGAUUCAGUGAGAAAUUAUAGCAGAAAUGCUAAAUCCAGUUUAUUUUAUCGAAAAAGUUUAUAGACCAAAAUUUAUUAAUGAUUAAGUAUAAAUUCUUUAACCAUAAUGAAACAGUGGAAAAUACAUUUUUCUAUAUCUAAGUACGUAACGUCGUUACGUAAUUUAUUUUACAUUAAAUAAUUUUGAAUAGACGUAAUGAAUUUAAUUAUAAGUCUUCGUUAGUAAGUUAUUACUAGCGAUUAGAAUUUAGUAUUAUUGUAUUUAUAGAAAUAGAAUUGUGCCAAUUCCUCAAUAACAAUCGCGUAUAAUGGAUUUCUUCUAUGUGUAUCCAACAUCGCUUUGGCGUGUCCGUAGUAACGAAUAAAAUAAUUCUAAACGAGCGGAAUAAAUUUUUACUAUGGAA